Molecule: ribosomal RNA, 373 nt
Filed under: uncultured microorganism
Description: bacterial SSU rRNA
Rfam family: Archaeal small subunit ribosomal RNA
Source: RNAcentral
GUGCAGCAGGCGCGAAUACUUUACAAUGUGCGAAGCACGAUAAGGGAACUCUGAGUGCCUCCUACGGAGGCUGUUCAGGUGCCUAAACACACCUGAAGGAAGGGCUGGGUAAGACCGGUGCCAGCCGCCGCGGUAACACCGGCAGCCCAAGUGGUGGCCACGUUUAUUGGGUCUAAAGCGUCCGUAGCCGGCUCGGCAAGUCCCCUGGGAAAUCUGGCGGCUCAACCGUCAGGCGUCCAGAGGAUACUGCUGGGCUUGGGACCGGGAGAGGUGAGAGGUACCUCAGGGGUAGGGUGAAAUCUUGUGAUCCCUGAGGGACCACCAGUGGCGAAGGCGUCUCACUAGAACGGGUCCGACGGUCAGGGCCGAAAGC